GUGAGCAUGGCCCAGCUGGGAGAGCAUGCCUCUGUGCCCCCACUGCAUCUGUCACCCACCUGGGUCUGGGGAGUGCGCAGGACCCUGAGCCUCACCCAGGGACAGGAGUGGGAGGCCUGGCAUGGGCUGGGCAUGUGGAUCUCAGUCACCUUGCCAGCCCCUGUGCAGCACUCUUGGGUGUGAGGACCCCUGCCUGGAUGCACGGGAGAGAGGCUGGGGCAAGGCCAGCGGGUCUCCUACCCUGUGUGAUGCCAGGACAGGUGACUGUGGGCCGGAGCAGGGUGAGGACGGCAGGGAGCCUCGGGCAGAGGCUCUACUGCUGACCCUCUGCACCCCUAGGACUCCCAUUUGGCCCCAUUCUGAGCUGGUCUCCUGUCCCCAAGUGGGGCCAUAGUGGCUCUUCCUGCAGCUUCUGCCCAUCUUGCUGGGCCCCAUUGGACUUGUGGAGGUUCUUUCUGGAAGCCACUGCCCGCCCGCCAGCUCCCAUUGGGGGCCUGGGGUUGUUGUCAGAACUGGGGGUGUGCACAUACCUGCCCCCAGCGCUGGACACCCAGGUCCCCAAGGACCAGGAACACGCUGGAGCUGCAACACGUGGCCCACCCAGCUGCCUGCAGCAUGGUAGCGGGCACUCACGUGCCCCCUGAGACUGACCCACAGCAGGUCAGCCCCAGGCGAGCCGGCCCUGCUGCCCUGGACCUGCGGAGGGCUCUCCACAGUGAUGCUGGGAGACGGGAUGAGCAGAAACAGCAGGCUUCGGGUGCCGCCAACGCGAGCCCUGCUGGGGGCUGGAGGGCAGGCAAGAGCCCUUCUCAGAGACCAGCCUGUCCAGCCUGACCUGUGCUGUGGAGGCAAAAGCCAGAGGAGUGGUGUGGUGCCCUGAGAUGAUCUCUGACACAGCUACAGAAUGAAGUCGUUCAAUUUCCAGAGAGUGCCUGAGUGCCAGCCUGUGUGUUCGUGUCUGUUGUGGGAGAUUUCAAAUCUCUGAACUUGCUUCACGAAAAUGUAUUUGUGACCCUAAAACCAGCAGUCGAUUUCAUGGUCAUUUGCAGAGCGGCAGGGAUUUCGAGGCCCCGACACGCCCGUCCCUGGCCUCUGCUCUGAACAAGAGUCCUCCCGGCCUGGAGGCUCAGUGCAUGAGUCCCGCCACCUUGGCUGCACCUACGAUGCCCUCCUCCUCGCGGGAUCUUUUCCAAUGGGCUUGCAUCUCGUUGUGCUGCCCAUGGCACCAGGGUGAGCCACAAGUCAGAGGGACCCAGGCCCCAUGUGUGAGUCUGUGGGGACACCGUCGCCUUCCUGUCCUCCUUCAGGCAUGCCAGCUAGGGUGCUCCCGGGUGAGCUGGCCUGGGGUACCCCCACCUCUCUUUCAGGAUGGGAGGGUCUGGGCCUGGGCGUUGUUGACUUGUGGACUUGGGACUUGCCCCACACCGAGCCCCUCCGCCUCUGGACGGGACGCCGUUGCCGGCCCCGCGGAGUCCAUGGGGUCAUAGGUUCCUUGGGAGGCCUGAAGUGGCGCCCUCCACCUGGCCCCGCCCCCAUGACUUCCCGCCUGGUGGCCACCCCCAGGGCAGCGGGUGGUCAGUGGACUGCAUCUGGUGUUUGCCCACACCCCUUUCUGCUAGACUGUGAUCUCCUCAGGGCUGAGUCUUUUCAUUGUUUUAUCCCCUAGUCAUGGCUGAACAAUUGUAGCAGCCACUGGGCAAUAAAGGCCUCUGCUGGGCACUUUGAAAAAUGAUCUGAUUUAGUCCUUAUAAAAAUCUAUGAAUUCAUAAUAUGUCUCUAUUUUAAAGUUGUAAAUACCAAGGCUCAAGAGGUUAAGAUACUUGCUCACGGUUACCAAGCUAGUGACAGCUUAACCACGAACACAAAACAACAGCCUUAUUAUUUUGAAAAAAAUGCUUGUUUUUAAAAUAUCAAGUUGUGCAGAAAAAAAAUCAUAGAAGUCUGUAAAAGUCACU
This is a long non-coding RNA of Manis javanica (Malayan pangolin), 1955 nucleotides long. RefSeq lists it as uncharacterized. The record is from RefSeq and is a predicted model, not a curated record. NCBI's taxonomy places the organism in Eukaryota, Metazoa, Chordata, Mammalia, Pholidota, Manidae.